AUCCAGCUGAUGAGUCCCGAACAGGACGAAACACGCGUCCUCGAU
Molecule: non-coding RNA, 45 nt
Filed under: Schistosoma mansoni
Lineage: Eukaryota; Metazoa; Platyhelminthes; Trematoda; Strigeidida; Schistosomatidae
Source: RNAcentral